AAGCAGUGUCAACAGAUAGCAAUCAAAUUAUAACAUAGUUGUUCGUAUUUUUAUUUCACUCUUCCUUCGGGCAUACCAUCCCUUUACCGAAUCUGCACAUCUCAUCAUAUACAAUAGGCAGAUAAACUUUCACAUAAAAGUGAGCUCAUGUGACAUAGAUAUAUCGUAUGAUUUCACAUCACCUCUCACACUGAUCCGAUGUCAC
RNAcentral lists this long non-coding RNA (205 nucleotides) under Gossypium barbadense (sea-island cotton). RNAcentral describes it as "long non-coding RNA (GBAR_LNC001340)". Lineage: Eukaryota; Viridiplantae; Streptophyta; Magnoliopsida; Malvales; Malvaceae. The record is from RNAcentral.